GCAGACACAUUCCAGCCAAUCAGCAGCAGACCCUCCCUCCCAGACCCUCCCAUCUCCUGGACAGCUCACUAAGAAUGCAGCUUCACAAUGAAUGUAAAAUGGAUGCUGUCCAGGAGGUGGGAGGGUCUGGGAGGGAGGGUCUGCUGCUGAUUGGCUGGAAUGUGUCAG
RNAcentral lists this microRNA precursor (168 nucleotides) under Pelobates cultripes (western spadefoot toad). The record is from RNAcentral. Lineage: Eukaryota; Metazoa; Chordata; Amphibia; Anura; Pelobatidae.